GAAUCUGCCUGGUAGUGGGGGACAACGUUUCGAAAGGAACGCUAAUACCGCAUACGUCCUACGGGAGAAAGCAGGGGACCUUCGGGCCUUGCGCUAUCAGAUGAGCCUAGGUCGGAUUAGCUAGUUGGUGAGGUAAUGGCUCACCAAGGCGACGAUCCGUAACUGGUCUGAGAGGAUGAUCAGUCACACUGGAACUGAGACACGGUCCAGACUCCUACGGGAGGCAGCAGUGGGGAAUAUUGGACAAUGGGCGAAAGCCUGAUCCAGCCAUGCCGCGUGUGUGAAGAAGGUCUUCGGAUUGUAAAGCACUUUAAGUUGGGAGGAAGGGCAGUAAGCUAAUACCUUGCUGUUUUGACGUUACCGACAGAAUAAGCACCGGCUAACUCUGUGCCAGCAGCCGCGGUAAUACAGAGGGUGCAAGCGUUAAUCGGAAUUACUGGGCGUAAAGCGCGCGUAGGUGGUUUGUUAAGUUGGAUGUGAAAGCCCCGGGCUCAACCUGGGAACUGCAUCCGAAACUGGCGAGCUAGAGUACGGUAGAGGGUGGUGGAAUUUCCUGUGUAGCGGUGAAAUGCGUAGAUAUAGGAAGGAACACCAGUGGCGAAGGCGACCACCUGGACUGAUACUGACACUGAUGUGCGAAAGCGUGGGGAGCAAACACGAUUAGAUACCCUGGUAGUCCACGCCGUAGACGAUGUCAACUAGCCGUUGGAAUCCUUGAGAUUUUACUGGCGCAGCUAACGCAGUAAGUUGACCGCCUGGCGAGUACGGCCGCAAGGUUAGGACUCACAUGAAUUGACCGG
This 800-nucleotide ribosomal RNA is filed under the name Pseudomonas putida. Its description in RNAcentral is "bacterial SSU rRNA". It matches the Rfam family "Bacterial small subunit ribosomal RNA", at positions 122 to 917 of the family's 1533-position model. Lineage: Bacteria; Pseudomonadati; Pseudomonadota; Gammaproteobacteria; Pseudomonadales; Pseudomonadaceae. The record is from RNAcentral.